RNAcentral lists this long non-coding RNA (861 nucleotides) under Anser brachyrhynchus (Pink-footed goose). Its description in RNAcentral is "lncRNA (ENSABRG00000011067.1)". The record is from RNAcentral. Lineage: Eukaryota; Metazoa; Chordata; Aves; Anseriformes; Anatidae.
GACAGGUAAGAUAGUACCAACCCACACCCCACCGCAGUCUAACAGCAAGCAGGACAGUGACACGCUCAGGCCAGGACAGCAGUGACCGCUCCAUCAGGACGACGGGACACAGACAGCCUCGCCAGAAACACACAGUGAUGGGACCAGACCACGGCACAAUCCUGGCCUCACUUCUCUUGACCACUCAGCUGGAAGGAAGAGCUGCCAACGCUCUACAGGACAGUGACCACUCCAUCAGGACGAUGGGACAGGGACAGACAUGCCAGACACACAUGACAAUGAGACCAGAUCAUGGCACACUCCUGGCUGCUCUCCCCUUGAGAACUCAGCUGGAAGGAAGAACUGCCAAUGCUCUACAGGACAGAUAAGACAGCCCCAACCCAUUCCCCACCAUGGUCUCACACCAUACCAGAAGACGACACGGUUGGGUUAUGAUGGCCAUCUCCUGGCCGCCAGGGAGACGUGAGAUGGACGGCCUUGGAGUGAGGCUGGGAGAGCCUUGCUCGGGGAUGCAGGGGCUGCCCCUGGCCAUGGGCUGGGGCUGCUCUUUUUGAUCAUUUUCCUUUCUUACCCCAUCACAAAGCUCAGAGCAGAGCAAGGUCUGCCGCUGUCCUUUCCCUCCUCUGCCCUCUCCCUCUGCGGCCACUGGCCUGAAGGCUGGUGCAGCUUUCUACAACCACAGCCACUGAAGGAGAAGAAAGCACACAAGGACCCCGUCUCUACCCUGCCAUGGUCCUACAAGCACACCAACGGGCCCCGCGCCUUUGGACAUUGAGAGCUCAGCACGCCUCCCCGCCAACUCACCCCACCCCACGUCUCUCUCAAACGUUGCUUAAAUAAAGGUUCUGAUUCACAACCUCA